GACGAACGCUGGCGGCGUGCUUAACACAUGCAAGUCGAACGGAAAGGCCCUGCUUUUGUGGGGUGCUCGAGUGGCGAACGGGUGAGUAACACGUGAGUAACCUGCCCUUGACUUUGGGAUAACUUCAGGAAACUGGGGCUAAUACCGGAUAGGAGCUCCUGCUGCAUGGGGGGGGUUGGAAAGUUUCGGCGGUUGGGGAUGGACUCGCGGGUUAUCAGCUUGUUGGUGGGGUAGUGGCUUACCAAGGCUUUGACGGGUAGCCGGCCUGAGAGGUUGACCGGCCACAUUGGGACUGAGAUACGGCCCAGACUCCUACGGGAGGCAGCAGUGGGGAAUAUUGCACAAUGGGCGGAAGCCUGAUGCAGCAACGCCGCGUGCGGGAUGACGGCCUUCGGGUUGUAAACCGCUUUCGCCUGUGACGAAGCGUGAGUGACGGUAAUGGGUAAAGAAGCACCGGCUAACUACGUG
RNAcentral lists this ribosomal RNA (468 nucleotides) under uncultured bacterium. RNAcentral's name for it is "partial 16S ribosomal RNA". It matches the Rfam family "Bacterial small subunit ribosomal RNA", at positions 28 to 507 of the family's 1533-position model. The record is from RNAcentral.